UGGGGAAUAUUGCACAAUGGGCGCAAGCCUGAUGCAGCCAUGCCGCGUGUGUGAAGAAGGCCUUCGGGUUGUAAAGCACUUUCAGCGGGGAGGAAGGCGUUAAGGUUAAUAACCUUGGCGAUUGACGUUACCCGCAGAAGAAGCACCGGCUAACUCCGUGCCAGCAGCCGCGGUAAUACGGAGGGUGCAAGCGUUAAUCGGAAUUACUGGGCGUAAAGCGCACGCAGGCGGUCUGUCAAGUCGGAUGUGAAAUCCCCGGGCUCAACCUGGGAACUGCAUUCGAAACUGGCAGGCUAGAGUCUUGUAGAGGGGGGCAGAAUUCCAGGUGUAGCGGUGAAAUGCGUAGAGAUCUGGAGGAAUACCGGUGGCGAAGGCGGCCCCCUGGACAAAGACUGACGCUCAGGUGCGAAAGCGUGGGGAGCAAACAGG
RNAcentral lists this ribosomal RNA (429 nucleotides) under Chloroflexota bacterium. RNAcentral's name for it is "Chloroflexi bacterium partial 16S ribosomal RNA". It matches the Rfam family "Bacterial small subunit ribosomal RNA", at positions 355 to 776 of the family's 1533-position model. The record is from RNAcentral. Lineage: Bacteria; Bacillati; Chloroflexota.